UCCUCUUCUCUUAGCGUGCACAGUUUGCUUACAUGCCGCCUUAGGCACAUCUCUCUUUCUUAGUUUCAUGCUGGACUAAUGAUAAUGAAUGAAAGUCAGUCUUUUAGUAAACGUAUAUAAGCAGCUCUUUAGUGUAUAAGCAAUUCUUUAGUGGUCGCACCGAAAGUACGGUGGAGGUUGGUUGAAGAUGAUGUUACGCGGCGUUCAGAACCAGUCUUGAAGUGAAUGAAUUAUAAAGAAGUAAGGAAAUGAGACGACUCUUUCUUGAACUAUAUCAUAAACAGAUCUUCCCCUCCACACCAAUCACGAGUUUUUCUCUAUUCCUCUCGUAUAUCGUCGUAACGCCCUUAAUGCUAGGUUUUGAAAAAGACUUUUCAUGUCAUUCCCAUUUAGGUCCGAUUCGGAUCCCUCCGUUGUUUCCUUUUCCUUCCGCACCUUUUCCUCGAAAUGAGAAAGAAGAUGGUACACUUGAAUUUUAUUAUUUAAGUGCUUAUUGCUUGCCAAAAAUCCUACUUCUAUAAUUGGUAGGUCACCGGGUUAUUUAAAAAAGUCGUGUUUUUUGUGGUUUUCCCAUGUUACAACUUCCGUACCAAUUCGGUCGAUCCGGAAUGGAUCGGUUAAACAUUCCAUUAGGUAGCCUGGUCUUGACUCUUCUGUGUGGUAUUCAUUCUCGUUCGGCUCUUGGAAUCACAUCCAGCAGUGGUUGGAAUAGCUCGCAAAAUCCAACCACUUCACCUACUUCAUUGCCCCCAACCGUUUCUCGUACCUCUAUUGAAACAGAAUGGUUUCAUGUUCUUUCAUCGAUUGGUUAUUCCUCUCCGUUCGUAUCUCUUUUUCCAAUUUCGGUCUCCGAUUAGUUCCAAGAUUGAAUGGCCAAUUCUCCUCCGAACCCUCGAUUCCAUUGUUUUCCAAGAAUGUUGAGCCGGGUAUGUAAGCCAUGUAUCUGGGAGGAACAACAAUAAAAGAAGGGCUUUCGGUUUUGGUCUUGCCGCUAUUUUCAAAAUAUAUAUAUAAGAAUCCCUUUUUUAAAAGAAAGAUUAUAUAUAUGUCCAAUCUCUAGUGGUGGUGGAACCAAACAAGAUGUAUGUCGUCCGACCCGACCUCAGACUCUUUCUUCCCGACCUAUUUAACUCUCUGGCCAUAGUUAUUUAGGUGGUAUUACGAGAUCGAAUUCCUCUCAGGAACACACGAAACAAAGAUAUGAACUGGGUAAAUAGAAAUGGAAAAGAGAUGUUUCUAUUUCAUCCAAAUUAGUUGCUUUUUCUACAUCCAUAUGAUCUACUAAAGUAGAUCGGUAUUGACCAUAUAAUAAAAGUAGAUCUUGGUCCAUGGAGUCCCAAGAAGGUAAGAACUCCAACCUGCCCGAUGCUUCUUCGGCCAAAUACGAUAUACAAGUGGGACCUGCACUAUGAGCAAGCUGUGCGAAAAACCGCUUCUUUUUUCCGGUUCCGAAACAACUUGGGCGAAAUAGGGUCCAGCCCUCUUCACGAACUUGUACAAUCGAUGCCACAAAGAUAGCCAACUCUAUUAUCAAAGAAAUAAGGAAAGGGGCGACAAUUUGGCACCAGAUAUCCAGAGGUGUGGAAAUAGCAGCUGUGACAAGCAGAAAAACCAUCAAAAAACAACGAGAGUUCGUGGAGGUUUUUACAGAAAGAUCCCUUGGUUCUGGCAAAUGGAUCACAAUUACAGGUACCUGGGAGCAUACCGAUGGAAUGAACGAAAUACGAACAGUUAACAUAAUAUGGUCAUAGAUCUUGGCUUCUAACUUGAUCAUGAGCGAAUUUGUUGAUGUUGCACCCAUGAAGUAUGGAAAGUGCCAAACAUUGGGAACUACCCGGGGAGGAGUUAGGAACAGGAACAAGGAGAAGCGAGAACCACUUAAAUAGAGGAAUCGAUUGUAUUUCGUCCUUUGUUCCUCAUAGCAACUGGGGAUCAAAAAGCACCAAAUUUGAUGACUUAUUAAGGGAAAGACGAAGUAAGAGCAUGCUAUUGGAGACGUUGCAACAUAUGUCGGGAAGGCCUCCGUUGAUUGUGUACGAACAAAAUACGAAUCCAAAGGCAGGGUAAGAAAGGGUUUAGCUAAUGGAAAUAUUAACUCUUCCGGGAACCAGUAACGCGUAAACCAUGUCAAACCAAGACCAAUCAAUAUCCGAACGGAACGGAUUCGAACUUCUCCUAGAAUAGUUUCCGGUGCGAAAUGAAAUUCAUAGGAUAUAUAUGAGUAAUUCAAAGGAAAAAUCGAAAUAUUUGAUAGGAUUGAUUAUGUAUCAGAACUAAAUCACUACGAAUCAGAACUAAAUCACUACGAAUCAGAACUAAAUCACUACGAAUCAGAACUUGAAAGAAUGCAUAAAUAAUGUUAUGGGGCUUCCCCGUCGAGAAUAAAAAGUCUUUCUCUUAGAGAGGCGUUUUCUUCGCUUAGAAAAGCGUUCCUUCUCGACAGGGAUUCCCAUAACUCUUUUAAUUCUCGGCGAUGUUGCAUUUCCAAUUGGGCUUGGUGCUUUUGUUUUAAAAAGCCCUGGAAAUGCUCUGCCUGGGUCCUUUUUACCUCAAAAUAGAAUGGGGAUGUCUCUCUUUCAAAAGACAAACUUUCCAUGACCUGGCAUAGAGCAGGGUGAUUGAAUUCGAGGGGUUCAAGGUGAAAUUUGAGUAUGGAAUCUAGGUCUUGUGGAUCAAUGAAUAAUUGGGGAUCCUCUCAACCAUAAAAAAUGAGUUGAUAGAGAGAGGAAAUCUGGUCGCGAGUUACAAAACACAUCUCCGUGUUUAGGAAGUCUCGGACCAUUACUUCAUAUGUGGCUGAAUGUAUCGGGGUCGUUUUUAGCACUUGAUGUACAUAUUCCACCCAUUCUGUGUCCGACUGUUUCAGAUAGAACUCUAGAAGGUUUAGUUCCGAGGGAAGAAUCCCACAAGGAGAAAGAAGGAUAUGAUUGUUGUUGUGCCAAAGAAGAAAACCCGCGCGCAUUAUUAUAAAGAAAAUCACAAACAAUUUCAAGUAUAAAACGACCCGUUGAAAGGCCGAAUUCUUUACAUAAAGAAAGUUAAGUCGUUCAUCUAUAUUAAAAAACCUAAGAAGAACAAUAAUAACAUUGAAAAGGCAUGACCAGAAGAAUUGUGUGAAAGAAGUGAAUUUAUCUAGUUGAGGCAUGAUUCAUUGAGACAAUCAAAUUCCCUCCAGAAAGCUGAACUCCGUCAAGCCUGUAGGAGUAGUGAAGAAUGUGAGUGAGUUGUGUGGUUUUUUGUUGACCAAGAAAGAAAUGGGAGUGUUUGGGCGUACAUUGCAGAUCCACCGGUGGAGGUCCCGUACUAGAUUGACUUUCUUCUCUGACACUCUGGGGAUCAUCUUAAAGCGUCUUCUUCUUUGGCUAUGUGUUCCUGUAUAAGGGAGGCAUUUUGAUGACGUCAGUGAUCUUUCAGGCACUCCACCUCGACCAACUCAUUUCUUGGUUGAUCGACUGGCAAACGCCCGAGGCACAAAAGAUCAUUGAAAGGUCGAUGAUGUUUAUAGCCAUUCUUUCUUUGCUUUUUCACAACUUGUAAAGGUAGCCAUAGGGGAACCUGUGGCUGGAUUGAAUCCUUAUUUUAUUUCGGCAUCCCCCUCCUUGCGGUUAAGGUAAGGACUUCGGGCAUGGCCAGCUAAGGCUAAAGUUCCAUUAAAGAGCGUUUCCACGUGCGUCACCCAUCUUAUCUAUCUGAUGUCUACUCUAACCUUUUAGAGUGUGGAUUUCAUAGUUUCUAUUGGGAGCAGGCUUUCGAAUAUAUAAAACUCAUUUAUGGUUUUCAAUAAUUAGUUCCAAGUCAGCCAUGUACUACUAUCGGUCAUACAAUUGUUUUUUAAUUGUCUUUCUUUUUUUCAAUGCCCGCGGGCCACCUAAUAUUUUGGAUCGUCCUGCUGAUCCGGCUCCGCAGAUGUAGGUGGGAUUUGCCGAACUACAUCACCAAAGCGACUCCUCAUGAUAGGAGAGAAAGAAAUUAGGGGAAUUUAGAACGGAUUCCACUUUUCUAUAUGCUAAUUCGAAUCUGGCGGGUCGCUCCUUUCUUCGUUUGGGGUGUCUCGUGAGCUCUUUAUGGAAAACUUAUUCAUAUUAUUCUCCUCCCUUUUUUCCUAUCCUAUGGAUCAAAAGCUAUGAUUAACUCAGCUCUGACCUAGACUACAGUGCCCCUAGGGAAUGCACAUUCUCUAUCCUAUCCAAAAAAUAGGGACGCUUAUUAAUAGAAAAUUCAACAACGAAAUCUCAAACUUUUUUACCGCGCACCAAUGUCCGCCUUCUUGUACUGAUGUGGCAAAGUGAAAGUGUAAUUAAGCAAGAUUGACCGCCCUUUCAGUAGUAGUAGUGUCUACUGCCUUUCAGAAUGGCUACUAACAUAUUGCACGAGGUGGCUAACUCGCGGAAUAGCUUUUGGGUUGGCAGAAUCUAAAUAACCCCAAUGGUGAUUCCGAGACUUAUCCUACCUACUCAAGCGGCAAUCAAUACACAUUCAGUGAUUUCGAAUAUCACUUACGACAUUUCGAAAUCAGGGUUUGGGGGUUCAAGCUAUAUAUUCAUUGAUAUUGAGGAAGUAGAGGCAGAUUAAAUCUGUGCCAUCAACUUGACUACAUGGAACUAUCAAUGACGCGUUCAAAGGAAUCCUUUCUAUCCUGUGAGCUCGAACCGGAAGUUCAAGCCCUGCUCUUUCCCAGUCUCCCUUUAUACACUGCCUGCUUUCUUCUCCUGAUCCUCCUUCCGAUGCGGAUCCAACUCUCUGUUUUUAUGAACCAGUUAAACUCUCCAUCUAUGUCUGCAUCCGAGCGAGAAGAGAAGUCGAGUCCAUCUUUGUCUCCACUCAACCCUAGCUCGCUAAGCUGUUGAUUUCCAUGGAUCCUUAGAAACUUUGAGUCAUGAUGGAAAACGUACCCUCGCGAGAGAUUGAGAUAAAAAAAAGGAUGGUUUAGAUGCGGGGAAGAGGGGAACGAGAUGGCUGGCUAAGCUGCUCCACCAGGUCUCAUUUCUGGCCGGGAGAUGGUUUGUAUGGAUGGUUCGGUCAGCUGGUUUCGGAACCACGAGCUUCCUGAGAGAGUUUGAAUUAGAUUCAUUGUUUGAAAACACGGAUUUGGUUCACUGUCGGUCGAUUGACUGGUGGUUUGGUUGUUCUUAAGGCUAAGGGAUGGGGGAUGGGGGCAAAGAGAAGAAGGGCUAAGGCCUAAAAAUUUCACUGAUUGAUUCUUUGAUCCCGUCCACAGGUUCAGUGGUAGGUGGUUCCCCUUGACCUAGCUUUUUCUCUGCAGAGAAAGAAAGGGAUCAAAGGCAAUAAAACCUACGAUGUAUCCUCAAUCUUCCGAGGGGUACGGAGCGGCAUCGGAGUAGCCAAUAAGCUAAUCCUUUCCCAGUGACCCAUCUAAUUGAUUUGAUCCAGUGCAGAAAGAAGCGAGUGAGCGGCAAAUGAUCAAAUAUCGGACCUGGUGAAUAUCUGUCUCUCAAUCCCGGGAUUCCAAUCCAAAUUAUGCAUUGCCCGACCGCACUAGAUUCUUGAUUCGCUGGGAGAGAGUAGAGAGUCAAGGUUCGUUGGAAGUACUUCCUUUCUAUUAGUGUCACCGAAAAGGAUGAAAAGAGAUAAGAUGCUGGUGGUUAGCCUGCCCCGGACUCGUAAUUGAUAGUUUCUGAUGAAUGGAGAUAGCCUUCACUGAACGAUGGGAAUACCAAUUGAGACUAGGAGAGGUGGCCUCAUAUCCCGUCCCUGGUUCCGGCUCUCCGAAAGCAGAGUAUACGGGGGCGGCAGAUGGAUUUGAAGUUGAGGGAAACCUAAAGGACAAAAGAAAGAGAUUUAUUUUUAGAUGCGGAUUACCGCUUCUGAGCUUCGAUGAUCGGGAGGGCUUGAUAGCUUCUAUCCAGUGAAGGGCAUGAGAGGAAGAAAUAAAUGGAGAACUUGGGCCUCUUCGGAUGGGAGUUGAUGGCGGCCUUCAAUGGUUCCCAAAAUGGGCAGUUCCCUUCUCUUGGCAGCCGCAGAUGGGCUUUCACACUCCUUCUCUAUAUAAGAUCCAUAGCUUGAACAAGACAGCUGCACUGGGAUACUCAGAAAGAAGUAAAGCGCAUCCACAACUGCCGAAGAAAGAACAGGAGAAUCUAUACUAUCUUCCGCAACUUCCGAAAGAGCCACAUCAAGAACAAGAGCUGGUACCGCAUGUGCCGCAGGACAGGCAGGAAUGGGAUAUAUAUUUGAAACAACAAUAGCAAGGAGAUUCGCCAACAGGAGAGGGCGGGCCCCCCGCGCUAUUAGUGUCUUCUAUAUAAGAAGAGAGUCGAGUUUGAUGAGUGUCGACUGAGGUUGCGCAGAGCAAGCAAGGCGAGUUGCUUGCAAUGGUUGCUUGCGUGCGAGGCAAGGUAGCGCAAGCAAGGCAACGGUAUAAGCAAGGUAGCUUGCAAGUCCCACCUCGAGCAACAGGUUACCUAAAAACAAAUCAAAUCAGAGUCCUUGGUUCAUUGUUCAAUUGUUGAGAUCGAAUCUGACGGUAGCCGAAGGCUACUACAAUGUUUUGUAAGCUCAGGUUAUCGGCAGAAAAUGUAGUGCAAGCGAAAUUCUCGCCAGACGAUGUCAUGCAGCCCAGAUGAGUAGAGACAAACGUCUAGCAAAUCCGAGUAAGCGACAGGCGAGCAAGCGCAAGGCCAACCGAAGGAAGAAGACCAGUUGAAUGCAAGUUCAAUCACGAGGAGAUGGGCAAGUCAAGCCUGCUGGUAGACAGUAUUCAAACUAGGGGCAGAAGUCAUCAAGUUGCUUUCAGUCGUCCUUCUCCUUAUGUACAAGGCACUAAACUAGUGAUGUUAAGCAUUUGCCCUCGAGUGAAGUUCAACUCAGUUGAUUCUCAGAUAAAUCCCACAUGAAGCGAAAGUCUACGCACCACUACAUGAAAGAUCUGACUGUCUAGUCAGAAAGAGUCUUUCUAGAAGCUUUAAUUUAGGAGCGUUUCAUCAAACUAGAAAGAUAUGAAUCUCAGACAGAUGGUCACGUAAGUAGUGGAUCUCACGUCCUAUCCUCAAGUCUUCUUAGUGAUCGUCUGCUCUCAAUGAAUCAAUGCCCGGUGGCUCUGAAUUCAAUAGAAAUCCCGUGAGUGAAACUCUGAGUUGAAAACGACUAAGCUUAUAUGAAUCUCAGACAGAUGGUUGCGUAAGUAGUGGAUCUCACGUCCUAUCUUCAAGUCUACUUAGUGAUCGUCUGCUCUCAAUGAAUCAAUGCCCGGUGGCUCUGAAUUCAAUAGAAAUCCCGUGAGUGAAACUCUGAGUUGAAAACGACUAAGCUUUUUGCCUUGACCUUGACACUAGUCUGAGCCUUUCCCAGGGCACCUUGCCUUCUUUCCUUGGCUUGGCGGGACACAGAAAUGAUUCUUUGCUAUCUAAAGGGAGUUUCGAUUCCGCAGAACCUAUAGGAGCAAUAGACGGAGUGGAGUAUGGCUGUGAGUCAGGCGCAGUAUCCUCACUGUUCUUGUUACAGAAUCAACUCUGAACGCUGUACAUGGUUAGCUGUAAGAAAGAAUAGCGAUUGUUGAAGAAGUUUGCUCUUUCGACGACUCUUAUUGCUCUAAAUAAGCUCUCAUCCUUUAGGAGUGCAGGCACGACUAGCUUUCUCCAACCUUCUUGUGUGACCGCAUGUUGGAGAAAAGAGAUCCACAUCUUACUCUAACGGCAAUGUCAGGAUCUCAGUCUAUCUCUUUCUCACAUUUGACACUCUCUUCUAUAUACCGCUAAGUCGCAUCCAA
This 7726-nucleotide long non-coding RNA is filed under the name Capsicum annuum. RNAcentral's name for it is "long non-coding RNA (CANN_LNC011319)". The record is from RNAcentral. Lineage: Eukaryota; Viridiplantae; Streptophyta; Magnoliopsida; Solanales; Solanaceae.